GGUAGCCUACGGGGGGCAGCAGUGAGGAAUAUUGGUCAAUGGGCGAGAGCCUGAACCAGCCACGUCGCGUGAGGGAAGACGGUCCUAUGGAUUGUAAACCUCUUUUGCCGGGGAGCAAAAAGCGGUACGUGUACCGCAUCGAGAGUACCCGGAGAAAAAGCAUCGGCUAACUCCGUGCCAGCAGCCGCGGUAAUACGGAGGAUGCGAGCGUUAUCCGGAUUUAUUGGGUUUAAAGGGUGCGCAGGCGGAAGAUCAAGUCAGCGGUAAAAUUGAGAGGCUCAACCUCUUCGAGCCGUUGAAACUGG
RNAcentral lists this ribosomal RNA (305 nucleotides) under uncultured bacterium. RNAcentral's name for it is "bacterial SSU rRNA". It matches the Rfam family "Bacterial small subunit ribosomal RNA", at positions 333 to 636 of the family's 1533-position model. The record is from RNAcentral.